RNAcentral lists this ribosomal RNA (254 nucleotides) under uncultured bacterium. RNAcentral's name for it is "partial 16S ribosomal RNA". It matches the Rfam family "Bacterial small subunit ribosomal RNA", at positions 524 to 776 of the family's 1533-position model. The record is from RNAcentral.
UACGGAGGGGGCUAGCGUUGUUCGGAAUUACUGGGCGUAAAGCGUACGUAGGCGGCUUUGUAAGUUAGAGGUGAAAGCCCGGGGCUCAACCCCGGAAUUGCCUUUAAGACUGCAUAGCUAGAAUCAUGGAGAGGUGAGUGGAAAUUCCGAGUGUAGAGGUGAAAUUCGUAGAUAUUCGGAAGAACACCAGUGGCGAAGGCGACUCACUGGACAUGUAUUGACGCUGAGGUACGAAAGCGUGGGGAGCAAACAGG